GAUGAACGCUGGCGGCGUGCUUAACACAUGCAAGUCGAACGGAAAGGCCCAAGCUUGCUUGGGUACUCGAGUGGCGAACGGGUGAGUAACACGUGGGUGAUCUGCCCUGCACUUCGGGAUAAGCCUGGGAAACUGGGUCUAAUACCGGAUAGGACGAUGGUUUGGAUGCCAUUGUGGAAAGUUUUUUCGGUGUGGGAUGAGCUCGCGGCCUAUCAGCUUGUUGGUGGGGUAAUGGCCUACCAAGGCGUCGACGGGUAGCCGGCCUGAGAGGGUGUACGGCCACAUUGGGACUGAGAUACGGCCCAGACUCCUACGGGAGGCAGCAAUGGGGAAUAUUGCACAAUGGGCGCAAGCCUGAUGCAGCGACGCCGCGUGGGGGAUGACGGCCUUCGGGUUGUAAACUCCUUUCGCUAGGGACGAAGCGUUUUUGUGACGGUACCUGGAGAAGAAGCACCGUCUAACUACGUG
This 468-nucleotide ribosomal RNA is filed under the name uncultured bacterium. RNAcentral describes it as "partial 16S ribosomal RNA". It matches the Rfam family "Bacterial small subunit ribosomal RNA", at positions 28 to 507 of the family's 1533-position model. The record is from RNAcentral.